GAGUUUGAUCAUGGCUCAGGAUGAACGCUAGCGAUAGGCUUAACACAUGCAAGUCGAGGGGCAGCGAGGGUAGCAAUACCUGUCGGCGACCGGCGCACGGGUGAGUAACGCGUAUGUAACCUGCCCGCAACAGGGGGAUAACCCGGCGAAAGUCGGACUAAUACCGCAUAAAACAGGGGUCCCGCAUGGGAAUAUUUGUUAAAGAUUUAUCGGUUGCGGAUGGGCAUGCGUACCAUUAGGUAGUUGGUGAGGUAACGGCUCACCAAGCCAUCGAUGGUUAGGGGUUCUGAGAGGAAGGUCCCCCACACUGGUACUGAGACACGGACCAGACUCCUACGGGAGGCAGCAGUGAGGAAUAUUGGUCAAUGGGCGAGAGCCUGAACCAGCCAAGUCGCGUGAAGGAUGACUGCCCUAUGGGUUGUAAACUUCUUUUACAAGGGAAUAAAA
RNAcentral lists this ribosomal RNA (447 nucleotides) under Tannerella forsythia. RNAcentral's name for it is "bacterial SSU rRNA". It matches the Rfam family "Bacterial small subunit ribosomal RNA", at positions 9 to 451 of the family's 1533-position model. Lineage: Bacteria; Pseudomonadati; Bacteroidota; Bacteroidia; Bacteroidales; Tannerellaceae. The record is from RNAcentral.